AGAGUUUGAUCCUGGCUCAGAUUGAACGCUGGCGGCAUGCCUUACACAUGCAAGUCGAACGGUAACGCGGGGCAACCUGGCGACGAGUGGCGAACGGGUGAGUAAUGCAUCGGAACGUGCCCAGUAGUGGGGGAUAGCCCGGCGAAAGCCGGAUUAAUACCGCAUACGACCUAUGGGUGAAAGCGGGGGACUCGCAAGAGCCUCGCGCUAUUGGAGCGGCCGAUGUCAGAUUAGCUAGUUGGUGGGGUAAAAGCCUACCAAGGCGACGAUCUGUAGCUGGUCUGAGAGGACGACCAGCCACACUGGGACUGAGACACGGCCCAGACUCCUACGGGAGGCAGCAGUGGGGAAUUUUGGACAAUGGGCGCAAGCCUGAUCCAUCCAUGCCGCGUGCGGGAAGAAGGCCUUCGGGUUGUAAACCGCUUUUGUCAGGGAAGAAACGCUCUGGGCUAAUACCCCGGGGUAAUGACGGUACCUGAAGAAUAAGCACCGGCUAACUACGUGCCAGCAGCCGCGGUAAUACGUAGGGUGCAAGCGUUAAUCGGAAUUACUGGGCGUAAAGCGUGCGCAGGCGGUUAUGCAAGACAGAUGUGAAAUCCCCGGGCUCAACCUGGGAACUGCAUUUGUGACUGCAUAGCUAGAGUACGGUAGAGGGGGAUGGAAUUCCGCGUGUAGCAGUGAAAUGCGUAGAUAUGCGGAGGAACACCGAUGGCGAAGGCAAUCCCCUGGACCUGUACUGACGCUCAUGCACGAAAGCGUGGGGAGCAACAGGAUUAGAUACCCUGGUAGUCCACGCCCUAAACGAUGUCAACUGGUUGUUGGACGGCUUGCCGUUCAGUAACGAAGCUAACGCGUGAAGUUGACCGCCUGGGGAGUACGGCCGCAAGGUUGAAACUCAAAGGAAUUGACGGGGACCCGCACAAGCGGUGGAUGAUGUGGUUUAAUUCGAUGCAACGCGAAAAACCUUACCUACCCUUGACAUGUCAAGAAUCUUGCAGAGAUGUGAGAGUGCUCGAAAGAGAACUUGAACACAGGUGCUGCGUGGCCGUCGUCAGCUCGUGUCGUGAGAUGUUGGGUUAAGUCCCGCAACGAGCGCAACCCUUGUCAUUAGUUGCUACGAAAGGGCACUCUAAUGAGACUGCCGGUGACAAACCGGAGGAAGGUGGGGAUGACGUCAGGUCCUCAUGGCCCUUAUGGGUAGGGCUACACACGUCAUACAAUGGCCGGUACAGAGGGCUGCCAACCCGCGAGGGGGAGCUAAUCCCAGAAAACCGGUCGUAGUCCGGAUCGCAGUCUGCAACUCGACUGCGUGAAGUCGGAAUCGCUAGUAAUCGCGGAUCAGCUUGCCGCGGUGAAUACGUUCCCGGGUCUUGUACACACCGCACGUCACACCAUGGGAGCGGGUUCUGCCAGAAGUAGUUAGCCUAACCGCAA
This 1434-nucleotide ribosomal RNA is filed under the name metagenome. RNAcentral describes it as "bacterial SSU rRNA". It matches the Rfam family "Bacterial small subunit ribosomal RNA". The record is from RNAcentral.